RNAcentral lists this microRNA precursor (136 nucleotides) under Hordeum vulgare. RNAcentral's name for it is "microRNA MIR1122". It matches the Rfam family "MIR1120/MIR1122 microRNA precursor family". Lineage: Eukaryota; Viridiplantae; Streptophyta; Magnoliopsida; Poales; Poaceae. The record is from RNAcentral.
CUUAUACUCCCUCCGUCCCAAAAUUCUUGUUUUAAAUUUAUUUAGAUAUGAAUGUAUCUAGUCAACUUUUAGUAUUUAGAUACAUCCAUUUCUAGAUAAAGCUAAGACAAGAAUUAUGGGACGGAGGGAGUAUUUA